RNAcentral lists this ribosomal RNA (240 nucleotides) under uncultured bacterium. Its description in RNAcentral is "partial 16S ribosomal RNA". It matches the Rfam family "Bacterial small subunit ribosomal RNA", at positions 118 to 351 of the family's 1533-position model. The record is from RNAcentral.
UGAGUAACCUGCCCUUAACUCUGGGAUAAGCCUGGGAAACUGGGUCUAAUACCGGAUAUGACUCCUCAUCGCAUGGUGGGGGGUGGAAAGCUUUAUUGUGGUUUUGGAUGGACUCGCGGCCUAUCAGCUUGUUGGUGAGGUAAUGGCUCACCAAGGCGACGACGGGUAGCCGGCCUGGAGAGGGUGACCGGCCACACGUGGGACUGAGACACCGGCCCAGACCUCCGUACGGGGAGGCAG